RNAcentral lists this long non-coding RNA (378 nucleotides) under Physcomitrium patens. RNAcentral describes it as "long non-coding RNA (PPAT_LNC007018)". The record is from RNAcentral. Lineage: Eukaryota; Viridiplantae; Streptophyta; Bryopsida; Funariales; Funariaceae.
GAAUAUUGUCAUGUAACUCCUAAUAAAGAGUAUAUAUAGAAGCAAGAUUGUAGUAUUCUUCACUCUUGUUAAUACCUUUCUAGUCUUUAGUCUUAUUUCAAGACUUUUUAGUCUUCUUAUUUUUGGUAAUAGCCAUUCUAGUUCAAUAAUAUAUCAUCUUUAAGUGAUUUUUUAGUUCUUUUCAAUGUCACAAAAGUAAAAUUCAUAUCUCUUGAUUCAACUAUUCAGAUUUUUCCAAAUUCAUAAAUAUCAUAGAAUUCAUCUUUAAGCUUUAUCUUACAAAAAUUCAACUGUAAAGACGCUACUGAUUGUCUGGCAUCUUAAAAACCCUAGUAGAUGCUCUAAAAUCCUAAUUCACAAGCACCUAAGUACUAUUUU